UUCACACUGUCAAGAAAAGCUUCUAUCGAGUUUAAAGGCGCCCGUACCGUAAACCGACACAGGUGGGUGAGGAGAGUAUCCUAAGGCCAGCGAUAGAACUAUUGUUAAGGAACUCGGCAAAAUGACCCCGUAACUUAGGGAGAAGGGGUGCCUGUCUAUGACAGGCCGCAGAGAAUAGGCCCAAGCGACUGUUUACCAAAAACACAGGUUUCUGCUAAGUCGUAAGACGAUGUAUAGGAGCUGACGCCUGCCCGGUGCUGGAAGGUUAAGGGGAUCUGUUAGAGCAAUCGAAGCAGUGAACUUAAGCCCCAGUAAACGGCGGCCGUAACUAUAACGGUCCUAAGGUAGCGAAAUUCCUUGUCGGGUAAGUUCCGACCCGCACGAAAGGCGUAACGAUUUGGGCACUGUCUCAACAAUAGACUCGGUGAAAUUGUAAUCCCGGUGAAGAUGCCGGGUACCUGCGACAGGACGGAAAGACCCCAUGGAGCUUUACUGUAGCUUGACGUUGGGUCUUGGUACUACAUGUACAGGAUAGGUGGGAGACUAUGAAGCAUGGACGCCAGUCUGUGUGGAGUCAUCCUUGGGAUACCACCCUUGUAGUACUGGGAUCCUAACCAUAGGCCUUGAAUCAGGUCUUGGAACACCGUCAGGUGGGCAGUUUGACUGGGGCGGUCGCCUCCUAAAAAGUAACGGAGGCGCUCAAAGGUUUCCUCAGCACGGUCGGAAAUCGUGCGAAGAGUGUAAAGGCAAAAGGAAGCUUGAUUGCAAGACAUACAGGUCGAGCAAGGACGAAAGUCGGACUUAGUGAUCCGGUGGUACCGCAUGGAAGGGCCAUCGCUCAACGGAUAAAAGCUACCCUGGGGAUAACAGGCUUAUCUCCCCCAAGAGUCCACAUCGACGGGGAGGUUUGGCACCUCGAUGUCGGCUCAUCACAUCCUGGGGCUGUAGUAGGUCCCAAGGGUUGGGCUGUUCGCCCAUUAAAGUGGUACGCGAGCUGGGUUCAGAACGUCGUGAGACAGUUCGGUCCCUAUCCGUCGCAGGCGUAGGAAAUUUGAGAAGACCUGUCCUUAGUACGAGAGGACCGGGAUGGACGUACCUCUGGUGUACCAGUUGUUCUGCCAAGGGCAUAGCUGGGUAGCUAUGUACGGAAUGGAUAAGCGCUGAAAGCAUCUAAGCGCGAAGCCAACUUCAAGAUAAGAUUUCCCACCGUAAGGGUAAGACCCCAGGAAGACUACCUGGUUGAUAGGUCGAAGGUGUAAGUGCAGUAAUGUAUUAGCUUAUCGAUACUAAUAGGUCGAGGACUUGAC
Molecule: ribosomal RNA, 1307 nt
Filed under: metagenome
Description: bacterial LSU rRNA
Rfam family: Bacterial large subunit ribosomal RNA
Source: RNAcentral